GGCUCGGUAGCUCGGUGGUUAGCGCGUCCAGCUAGCAAAUCGAGGCUCACAAGUUCGAAUCUUUGUCUCGGAAG
This is a non-coding RNA of Acanthoscelides obtectus, 74 nucleotides long. NCBI's taxonomy places the organism in Eukaryota, Metazoa, Arthropoda, Insecta, Coleoptera, Chrysomelidae. The record is from the annotation of a GenBank genome assembly.